AACACUGCAGAAUUGGACAAGCAAUAAUUUAGUUUUACAAUAAUUUCUAAUGAUUAGAAAGAACAAGCUGAAUUUCACUUGCAGCAGUUAGAGAUGAAGAGGAAAAACUGAGAUGAGUUCACCGGCUCUUACUUGAUUUUCAACAGCCUGGGAACAGAAUGUGAUCUGCAAGCUGCAUUGUCCAGAGAAUACAAAAAGAGAUGCAAGCCAGUGCAGCCCUUGUACUGAACUUAGUUGUCUUUUUACAAAAUCAUGCUGUUCAAUAUCUUCUCUGCAGUUGUUUUUUUUUUUCAAGGUGGAUUUUGCCCACUCUGGGUGUCACUGACCAAAGGAAUUCCAUGGACAUAGUGGGUUAAAGGAGAGUCAAACAAUGAUCAAGUGGGGAUUGUGAUUGAAGCCACUGGGAAGGCACAGAUUGGCUGCUUUAGCAUCUUAGCCAGUUACCUAAACAAGAAUAAAUACCUGACAGUUAUUGACAAAGAUGCAUUUGGAGGAGUAUACAGUGGACCAAGCUUGCUGGUAGAAAAUGUUGCUGUCUCGGGUAAAGGCUUCUGCAAGUCCCUCUUUUCCUGGCUGUAUAGGCUACCUCUUGGAAGAAAGUCCUUGUCCUUUGAGACUCAGAAGGCCCCACGCUCCAGUAUGCCAUCAUGAUGCCUGCUAAGGCAGCCACCUUGGUGUACAUGCUCACAGAGGCUCUGUUCAUGGAGCAGCUGCUGUUUGAAAAAUUUUGAAAUGCAAGAUCCACAACUAGAUGGAAGGCACUCUAGUCUUUGCAGAAAAAAAUGUACCUGAAUGUACAUUGCACAAUGCCUGGCACAAAGAAGGAAGAAUAUAAAUGAUAGUUCGACUCGUCUGUGGAAGAACUUACAAUCAUGGGGAAAGAUGGAAUAAAAACAUUUUUUAAACAGCAUGAAAACAUACCUAUUUGUGCAUUUCCUUUGAUUUACACCCCCACAUCCAAUCAGUGAUCAGGUUCUAUUGAUUC
RNAcentral lists this long non-coding RNA (985 nucleotides) under Homo sapiens (human). RNAcentral describes it as "HSALNT0378222". Lineage: Eukaryota; Metazoa; Chordata; Mammalia; Primates; Hominidae. The record is from RNAcentral.